Molecule: microRNA precursor, 300 nt
Filed under: Amborella trichopoda
Lineage: Eukaryota; Viridiplantae; Streptophyta; Magnoliopsida; Amborellales; Amborellaceae
Description: miR8603 stem-loop (atr-MIR8603)
Source: miRBase by way of RNAcentral
GGUGUUUAGCUGUUUGCAUGCCAAAUACGAGCUUACUGACAUCCUAGGCUCAAAAUUCAUACCCCUCAUCCGAUUCUUUUACUUUACAUGCCGAAUCACAUGCUCAAAGAAAUCCUCAAAUGCGAAGACUUGGAACGUGAAGGUAUGGCCGAGCCUAUCAGGGUGGUAAAUUUGGAGACAUCCCACAGUGGAUUUCUUUGAGCUUGUGGUUCGACAUGUAUGGGAAUCUCAUCUUGGAUGAGGGGAUAAAUUUUGAGCCUAAAGGGGAUGAAUUUUGAGCCUAGGCGGGCAGUUCGCAUC